GCCGGGCCUGGUGGCAUGUGCUUGUAGUCCCAGCUACUCGGGAGGCUGAGAUGGGAGGAUCGUUUGAGCCCAGGAGUUCUGGGCUGUAGUGCACUAUGCCUAUCAGGUGUCCACACUAAGUUCAGCAUCAAUAUGGUGAUCUCCCGGGAGUGGGGGUCCACCAGGUUGCCUAAGGAGGGGUGAACCAGCCCAGGCUGGAAACGGAGCAGGUCAAAACUCCUGUGCUGAUCAGUAGUGGGAUCGUGCCUGUGAAUAGCCACUGCACUCCAGCCUGGGCAACAUAGCGAGAUCCCAUCUCU
Molecule: signal recognition particle RNA, 299 nt
Filed under: Aotus nancymaae (Ma's night monkey)
Lineage: Eukaryota; Metazoa; Chordata; Mammalia; Primates; Aotidae
Description: Metazoan signal recognition particle RNA (ENSANAG00000000362.1)
Rfam family: Metazoan signal recognition particle RNA
About the family: The signal recognition particle (SRP) is a universally conserved ribonucleoprotein.
Source: RNAcentral